This 451-nucleotide ribosomal RNA is filed under the name uncultured bacterium. RNAcentral's name for it is "partial 16S ribosomal RNA". It matches the Rfam family "Bacterial small subunit ribosomal RNA", at positions 29 to 523 of the family's 1533-position model. The record is from RNAcentral.
AGCGAACGCUGGCGGCAGGCUUAACACAUGCAAGUCGAGCGGGCAUAGCAAUAUGUCAGCGGCAGACGGGUGAGUAACGCGUGGGAACGUACCUUUUGGUUCGGAACAACACAGGGAAACUUGUGCUAAUACCGGAUAAGCCCUUACGGGGAAAGAUUUAUCGCCGAAAGAUCGGCCCGCGUCUGAUUAGCUAGUUGGUGGGGUAAUGGCUCACCAAGGCGACGAUCAGUAGCUGGUCUGAGAGGAUGAUCAGCCACAUUGGGACUGAGACACGGCCCAAACUCCUACGGGAGGCAGCAGUGGGGAAUAUUGGACAAUGGGCGCAAGCCUGAUCCAGCCAUGCCGCGUGAGUGAUGAAGGCCCUAGGGUUGUAAAGCUCUGUUGUGCGGGAAGAUAAUGACGGUACCGCAAGAAUAAGCCCCGGCUAACUUCGUGCCAGCCGCCGCAGUAA